Ficedula albicollis (Collared flycatcher) is the source of this 351-nucleotide long non-coding RNA. RefSeq lists it as uncharacterized. NCBI's taxonomy places the organism in Eukaryota, Metazoa, Chordata, Aves, Passeriformes, Muscicapidae. The transcript is spliced from 4 exons. The record is from RefSeq and is a predicted model, not a curated record.
GGUCUGAAAUGCUACACAUCUUCCCCUCUUAAGGCUGUUCCUGACAAAGCAAACCAUAUUUAUUUAGGUGUGUAAUAGUGGUUUACAGGUCUGGGUUUGGCAUCAAAAGAAGAAAACUGUGCCUUCAGUACUUCCAGCUGAGAAACUGAGGCUUCAAUGUGUCUGAAAGUCACUGGUUAUAGCAAAAGGAAGUUCAGAUAAAGAGAAGAAAAUAGCCAAACGGGCAGACAGCUUAAAAUAUAAGAUGAUCUCAUCUGGCUCUUACAUGACCCCUGACCGCAUAACAGGCUUUUACACUCACUUGAAAAGCUGAUUGUGCUGGAAAAUCCCCUGCUGGAGGGACUUCAGAGG